RNAcentral lists this ribosomal RNA (382 nucleotides) under Theileria ovis. RNAcentral's name for it is "SSU rRNA". It matches the Rfam family "Eukaryotic small subunit ribosomal RNA", at positions 462 to 880 of the family's 1831-position model. The record is from RNAcentral. Lineage: Eukaryota; Apicomplexa; Aconoidasida; Piroplasmida; Theileriidae.
AGGUAGUGACAAGAAAUAACAAUACGGGGCUUAAUGUCUUGUAAUUGGAAUGAUGGGAAUUUAAACCUCUUCCAGAGUAUCAAUUGGAGGGCAAGUCUGGUGCCAGCAGCCGCGGUAAUUCCAGCUCCAAUAGCGUAUAUUAAAAUUGUUGCAGUUAAAAAGCUCGUAGUUGAAUUUCUGCUGCAUUGCUUUUGCUCCUUUACGAGUCUUUGCAUUGUGGCUUAUUUCGGACUUUGUUUUACAAUGUCCGGAUGUUUACUUUGAGAAAAUUAGAGUGCUCAAAGCAGGCUUUCGCCUUGAAUAGUUUAGCAUGGAAUAAUAAAGUAGGACUUUGGUUCUAUUUUGUUGGUUUUAGGUACCAAAGUAAUGGUUAAUAGGAACA